This 460-nucleotide ribosomal RNA is filed under the name uncultured bacterium. Its description in RNAcentral is "partial 16S ribosomal RNA". It matches the Rfam family "Bacterial small subunit ribosomal RNA", at positions 338 to 795 of the family's 1533-position model. The record is from RNAcentral.
CCUACGGGUGGCAGCAGUGAGGAAUAUUGGUCAAUGGGCGGGAGCCUGAACCAGCCAAGUCGCGUGAGGGAAGACGGUCCUAUGGAUUGUAACCCUCUUUAGGCGGGGAGCAAUGCCGGGCACGCGUGCCCGGAGGGAGAGUACCCGCAGAAUAAGCAUCGGCUAACUCCGUGCCAGCAGCCGCGGUAAUACGGAGGAUGCGAGCGUUAUCCGGAUUUAUUGGGUUAAAAGGGUGCGUAGGCGGAUUUUUAAGUCAGCGGUAAAAGGUCCGGGCUCAACCCGGGCCGGCCGUUGAAACUGGGGAUCUUGAGUGGGCGAGAAGUAUGCGGAAUGCGUGGUGUAGCGGUGAAAUGCAUAGAUAUCACGCAGAACUCCGAUUGCGAAGGCAGCAUACCGGCGCCCGACUGACGCUGAGGCACGAAAGCGUGGGGAUCGAACAGGAUUAGAUACCCCAGUAGUC